GGCUGGUCCGAUGGUAGUGGGUUAUCAGAACUUAUUAACAUUUAGGUCACAAAAGUUGGCAUACAACCUCCCACUGCUAAAUUUGACUGACUAAAA
Cercocebus atys (sooty mangabey) is the source of this 96-nucleotide unclassified non-coding RNA. It matches the Rfam family "Y RNA". Rfam says of the family: Y RNAs are components of the Ro ribonucleoprotein particle (Ro RNP), in association with Ro60 and La proteins. NCBI's taxonomy places the organism in Eukaryota, Metazoa, Chordata, Mammalia, Primates, Cercopithecidae. The record is from Ensembl.